This 2918-nucleotide ribosomal RNA is filed under the name Acinetobacter baumannii. Its description in RNAcentral is "bacterial LSU rRNA". It matches the Rfam family "Bacterial large subunit ribosomal RNA". Lineage: Bacteria; Pseudomonadati; Pseudomonadota; Gammaproteobacteria; Moraxellales; Moraxellaceae. RNAcentral also lists the same sequence under 1 other name. The record is from RNAcentral.
GUUGUAUAGUCAAGUAAUUAAGUGCAUGUGGUGGAUGCCUUGGCAGUCAGAGGCGAUGAAAGACGUGAUAGCCUGCGAAAAGCUCCGGGGAGGCGGCAAAUAUCCUUUGAUCCGGAGAUGUCUGAAUGGGGGAACCCACCUACUUUAAGGUAGGUAUUGCAACAUGAAUACAUAGUGUUGCAAGGCGAACGAGGGGAAGUGAAACAUCUCAGUACCCUUAGGAAAAGAAAUCAAUUGAGAUUCCCUCAGUAGCGGCGAGCGAACGGGGAUCAGCCCAUUAAGUUAUGUGUGUUUUAGUGGAACGCUCUGGGAAGUGCGAACGUAGAGGGUGAUAUUCCCGUACACGAAAGGGCACACAUAAUGAUGACGAGUAGGGCGAGGCACGUGAAACCUUGUCUGAAUAUGGGGGGACCAUCCUCCAAGGCUAAAUACUCCUGACUGACCGAUAGUGAACCAGUACCGUGAGGGAAAGGCGAAAAGAACCCCUGUGAGGGGAGUGAAAUAGAUCCUGAAACCGCAUGCAUACAAGCAGUGGGAGCACCUUUGUGGUGUGACUGCGUACCUUUUGUAUAAUGGGUCAGCGACUUAUAUUCAGUAGCGAGGUUAACCGUAUAGGGGAGCCGUAGAGAAAUCGAGUCUUAAUAGGGCGUUUAGUUGCUGGGUAUAGACCCGAAACCAGGCGAUCUAUCCAUGAGCAGGUUGAAGGUUGGGUAACACUAACUGGAGGACCGAACCCACUGUCGUUGAAAAGCCAGGGGAUGACUUGUGGAUAGGGGUGAAAGGCUAAUCAAGCCUGGUGAUAGCUGGUUCUCCCCGAAAGCUAUUUAGGUAGCGCCUCGGACGAAUACCAUAGGGGGUAGAGCACUGUUUCGGCUAGGGGGUCAUCCCGACUUACCAAACCGAUGCAAACUCCGAAUACCUAUGAGUACUAUCCGGGAGACAGACUGCGGGUGCUAACGUCCGUAGUCAAGAGGAAAACAAUCCAGACCGCCAGCUAAGGCCCCAAAAUCAUAGUUAAGUGGGAAACGAUGUGGGAAGGCAUAGACAGCUAGGAGGUUGGCUUAGAAGCAGCCACCCUUUAAAGAAAGCGUAAUAGCUCACUAGUCGAGUCGGCCUGCGCGGAAGAUGUAACGGGGCUAAAACUAUGUGCCGAAGCUGCGGAUGUAUACUUUGUAUACGUGGUAGGGGAGCGUUCUGUAAGCCGAUGAAGGUGUGUUGAGAAGCAUGCUGGAGGUAUCAGAAGUGCGAAUGCUGACGUGAGUAACGACAAAACGGGUGAAAAACCCGUUCGCCGAAAGACCAAGGGUUCCAGUCCAACGUUAAUCGGGGCUGGGUGAGUCGACCCCUAAGGCGAGGCCGAAAGGCGUAGUCGAUGGGAAAAUGGUUAAUAUUCCAUUACUUCUGUGUAAUGCGAUGAGAGGACGGAGAAGGCUAAAUCAGCCUGGCGUUGGUUGUCCAGGUGAAAGGAUGUAGGCAUGUAUCUUAGGCAAAUCCGGGGUACUCUAUGCUGAGAUCUGAUAGCAAGCUGUACUUGUACAGCGAAGUGGUUGAUGCCAUGCUUCCAGGAAAAGUCUCUAAGCUUCAGUUACACAGGAAUCGUACCCGAAACCGACACAGGUGGUCAGGUCGAGUAGACCAAGGCGCUUGAGAGAACUCUGCUGAAGGAACUAGGCAAAAUGGUACCGUAACUUCGGGAGAAGGUACGCUGUUGUUGGUGAUGGAACUCGCUUCCUGAGCUGACGACAGCCGCAGAAACCAGGCCGCUGCAACUGUUUAUUAAAAACAUAGCACUCUGCAAACACGAAAGUGGACGUAUAGGGUGUGAUGCCUGCCCGGUGCUGGAAGGUUAAUUGAUGGGGUUAGCGUAAGCGAAGCUCUUGAUCGAAGCCCCAGUAAACGGCGGCCGUAACUAUAACGGUCCUAAGGUAGCGAAAUUCCUUGUCGGGUAAGUUCCGACCUGCACGAAUGGCAUAAUGAUGGCGGCGCUGUCUCCAGCAGAGGCUCAGUGAAAUCGAAAUCGCUGUGAAGAUGCAGUGUACCCGCGGCUAGACGGAAAGACCCCGUGAACCUUUACUGCAGCUUGACACUGAACUUUGACCUUACUUGUGUAGGAUAGGUGGGAGGCUUUGAAGCUGGAACGCUAGUUCCAGUGGAGCCGUCCUUGAAAUACCACCCUGGUAAUGUUGAGGUUCUAACUCUGUCCCGUGAUCCGGGACGAGGACCGUGUCUGGUGGGUAGUUUGACUGGGGCGGUCUCCUCCUAAAGAGUAACGGAGGAGUACGAAGGUGCGCUCAGCGUGGUCGGAAAUCACGCGUAGAGUAUAAAGGCAAAAGCGCGCUUAACUGCGAGACCCACAAGUCGAGCAGGUACGAAAGUAGGUCUUAGUGAUCCGGUGGUUCUGUAUGGAAGGGCCAUCGCUCAACGGAUAAAAGGUACUCUGGGGAUAACAGGCUGAUACCGCCCAAGAGUUCAUAUCGACGGCGGUGUUUGGCACCUCGAUGUCGGCUCAUCUCAUCCUGGGGCUGAAGCAGGUCCCAAGGGUAUGGCUGUUCGCCAUUUAAAGAGGUACGCGAGCUGGGUUUAGAACGUCGUGAGACAGUUCGGUCCCUAUCUACCGUGGGCGCUGGAAAUUUGAGAGGAUCUGCUCCUAGUACGAGAGGACCAGAGUGGACGAACCUCUGGUGUACCGGUUGUGACGCCAGUCGCAUCGCCGGGUAGCUAUGUUCGGAAGGGAUAACCGCUGAAAGCAUCUAAGCGGGAAGCCUACCUCAAGAUAAGAUUUCCCUAGGACUUUAUGUCCUCUAAAGAGCCGUUCGAGACUAGGACGUUGAUAGGUUGGAUGUGGAAGCAUAGUGAUAUGUGAAGCUGACCAAUACUAAUUGCUCGUGAGGCUUGACUAUACAACACCCAAGCAGUUG